This 594-nucleotide ribosomal RNA is filed under the name uncultured eukaryote. RNAcentral's name for it is "SSU rRNA". It matches the Rfam family "Eukaryotic small subunit ribosomal RNA", at positions 812 to 1410 of the family's 1831-position model. The record is from RNAcentral.
GGAUAACGGAAGAGGGCGUCGGCUCGACUUCGUCGGUUCCUCGGGGCCGAGGCACGUACGGUGGAAUAGGGACGGUCGGGGCCGCCCGUACCGGGUCGUGAGAGGUGAAAUUCUAGGAUCGACCCGAGACGAACCGCCGCGAAAGCAUUCGGCAAGGACGCUUUCAUUAAUCAAGAACGAAAGUCGGGGGAUCGAAGACGAUCAGAUACCGUCGUAGUCCCGACCGUAAACGAUGCCGACCGAGGGCCCCGGAGGAGUUACGUACGACCCUCCGGGCCCUCCCGCGAGAAAUCAGGAGUAUUCGGGUUCCGGGGGGAGUAUGGUCGCAAGGCCGAACUUAAAGGAAUUGACGGAAGGGCACCACCAGGAGUGGAAUCUGCGGCUUAAUUUGACAACGCGGGAAAACUCACCAGGUCAGGACACGGUAAGGAUUGACGGACUGAAGGCUCUUCUCGAUUCCGUGGAAAGUGGUGCAUGGCCGUUUUUGGUUGGUGGAUCGAUCCGUCUGGUUAAUUCCGUUAACGAACGAGACCUCGGCACUCCGAAUAGCGCGGCGGACGUCGCGGCCUCCGGGCCGUCUUCCGCACGAGCUUC